GUUCAUGCAACACAGGCGGAGGAGAAGGAAGAGGAGGAGGAGAAGAAGUUCAAAUUAAGUAGCAUGCAUGUGGGAGGCUUCAAGGUGAGGAGUGGCACAAAAAAGAAUUCAUGGGACAGUGAGAGACAGAGGCUAACUGCAAUGCAAUGGUUGGUCUCAUAUGGCUUUGGAAAGGCAGCAAAGAAAGGGAAGCAAGCAUUGCAAAAGGGGCAAGACCUGUUAUGGACUAUUUCCUCCCGAAUUGUGGCUGACAUGUGGCUUAAAACCAUGAGAAAUCCAGAUAUCAAGCUUCUAAAGUGAUGAUGAUUCGUUUGUGCAGAUUUAAGUAUGAGCAUAAGCACUGUGUAUAUGUCUAUGCCAUGUCAAAUAUUUCAUUGAUAGAGGGAUAUAUUACAUUUUCUUUUCUUUUCUGCUUCUUUCUCAGUUCAUGUUUGUUAUUACUUUGGUUGGAUCAGACAUAAGUGCAAAAGCAUACCUUUUUUACAAAAACCUUUUGUAUACAUACGUGGUUGUGGCAAUACAGAAUGUUGAGAAGUUACUUACAUGAGAUUAUUUUAUCUAUGCUUUAUUGAUAUAAUAUUUUAAUGUUUGCACGAAUUAUGAAGUUACAAUAAUUGCAUUAACACAAUGAGAAUUGUGUUGUUAAGGGCAGGGUAUAUAAACAUGUUGCCUGAAAAAAUUGAAAAGAAAAAAAAGCAAGCGAAUUAAAUAAGUCAACCAAUAAAGACUGUGUUUUCUUACACAAGUGGCAAUUUAUGUAUCAUGAGUUUUAUGUGAACAAGUAUAUAUACAGCAUAAGUAUAAAUAAGUUUCACUGAACCAUGCAUUGGAGGUCACCAUGGCUCUUCAUCCGUUAGUUGCAGGGAUCCAGCUUGUGUUGUGAAAACGGGGCGGAUUUUCCAAACCGGGUUCCUUUUAGUGGCUUUAGGCCCAGACCAAAAAAAAAAAAAAAAACUAACUACUCGCUAUCCACUCUCGAGCGGGACAUAGAGCACAUAUGCUGGUUCAAUCUAGAAGCAUCUUUUAUAUCAGAUAAAACCCAACCAACCUCCCUCUCUCCUAAUCCUAAUCGUCUUAGGGUUUUUAUCAUCUUUUCAUUCACUGCCUUCGCACUCUCGCACUCACUCUUCCUUCUUCCACGAAGGUAAUUGUGAAUUGGAUAAUGAUAAUAAUAAUAAUAAUAACCUCAUCAAUUUCUUAUCAAAUCUGUUUUGCUCUGCAGUGCAAUGGCGACAGCUCAGCUAACAGCAUCCUCAAUUUCCUCGAGGAACGUGUCGUCGUUCGAAGGGCUUCGACCUUCGGCAGUUCAGUUCCCCUCCGUCGUCAGAAUUGGAACCCUCACUCAAAGGUCCUUCCGGGGUUUGGUUGUGAAAGCCGCAACUGUUGUUGCUCCAAAGGUUCAUUUUUUACUUCAAAGUUUCUGUUUAUAAUUAUUAUUAGGAUAGAGAAAUUUGUUGUAAUUCGGUUAAAACAGUACUAUAAUUGUGCAAUAGUUUUUGUUUAAUUACUGUGUAUGUUGGGAAUAUUGUAGAAGUUUGAUAUUGUCAGUAGCAUUUUAGAAGAUUAGAAGAUGGAAUUAAACACUUGUUUUUCAGGGUUUGACUUAGUAUAUGCAGUGCGAGCACAAUUUAUUUGCUUAAAAUACAUAAGUAUAGUACAAAGCUUGUUGAAGAAUGCAAAUAGUCCUGAAUCAAAACAGCUUCAGGGACCAGCAUUUUUUUAUUUUAGGUAUUCUGGUCAGGAUUAAAGUUUNNNNNNNNNNNNNNNNNNNNNNNNNNNNNNUUUUUUUUUUUUUUUUCACUUAAUGUCUUAUUUCUUUUCCGCUGUUGUCAAUUGAAGUUGGAUUAUUCUACCAAAUUACUACAUGAUUGUCGGAUAAUUAUUGAUAUGUAAGCCUGGAGAUUUUUAUUACAAAAUUUUGGAGUACUCAAUGUAUGGGUUUUGUAACCCAUUCCUGUAAUGUCCCUGAGUGAGUGUUUCUCUUGCAGUACACUGCUAUUAGGCCUCUUGGCGACAGAGUACUGGUUAAAAUUAAGGAAGCAGAAGAGAAGACGGACGGAGGAAUUCUACUUCCUUCAACUGCUCAAACAAAGCCACAGGGUGGUGAAGUUGUUGCUGUUGGAGAGGGGAAAUCUGUUGGGAAGAGCAAAAUAGAGAUUAGUGUGCAGGUAUAGCUGAUCUCUUAGAAUCAAUUAGCUUUUUAGUUAUUUAUCUUUUUCUUUUCUAUUCUUUUUCGAGGCAGUGUGAUUUUCUUGCCAAUCUUAACUUAUUUGAUGCUUUCCUUUGUACAGACUGGUGCACAAGUUGUGUAUUCGAAGUAUGCUGGUACUGAGGUGGAGUUCAAUGGGGCAAAGCAUCUUAUACUGAAGGACGAUGACAUUGUUGGUAUCCUCGAGACCGAAGAGAUCAAGGAUCUUAAACCGUUGAAUGAUAGAGUCUUAAUACAGGUUUGAUCCUAUCUUAGUUAGAGAGCAGGAUUUGAUCAUUUGACAAUCAUAUAUAUUUUGUAUUUCUGCAAUCCUUAUUGUUUAUACUUUGGAUUGACAUUUAUUAUCCAAAAGUGUAGCCUUGUAAGGCACCUGAUAGUUAUAACAAUAUCUAAACCUUUCUAUUGGUUCAUUUCUGACUGCAGGUUGCACAAGCAGAGGACAAAACUGCAGGUGGUUUGUUGCUUACCGAAGCAACCAAGGAGAAACCUUCGAUCGGAACGGUAAGUUUUUUUAAUUACUCUCUUCUUUGUAAAGGUAGUAUACUUUACCCAAUAACUCUAAUGAAUACGAUUGCUUUGAGGCCUGUUUGGUACCCUGAAAAUGAGUAUAAUUUAUUAAGAAAAUCUUGAAUAUAGAGAUGACACUAAAAAAAACAAAAAGCAAACAGAGAUUUUUUUCAUUGGCCCCUUAUUUAGUGUGUUAAACAAUAAUUUUGACUGAACAAAAUCUGUUGUAAUGUGUUGAAUGUUGUUAGGUGAUUGCGGUGGGCCCAGGGCCUCUUGAUGAGGAAGGUAACAGGAAACCGUUGUCUGUUAAUCCUGGGAACACAGUGUUGUACUCCAAAUAUGCUGGGAACGACUUCAAGGGAAAAGAUGGUUCGGACUACAUUGCAUUGAGGGUCUCAGAUAUCAUGGCUGUCCUUUCCUAGUAGUAACAAGUUGUUCUCUGUUUUGUAACUUCAAAAUUUUGUGCUCUUGAGGAAAAUGGAUUAUUUUUUAUCUACGAUGACAACUGAAACAUAGCUCAUUGCAAUUAUCUUAGAAAAUCUACAAACUUCUGGUGAUGUCAAUUGUUUUCCAGUUGUCUGUAAUUUCCACCUCACCUCAAAUUUUCCAAAAGCAUGUAGGGAAUCUUUUAGGGAAUUUUAAAAUCAUUGUGAUCAAUGGUAGAUUAAAUAGAGAACAGUAUAAUAUCUAGAUUCGAGAAAUUACAAGGUGUUCAUUUAAUUUCGGGCCUAAAAAGUUUAGCCUUCAUCGACGUUAUGCACACUCUAGGUAUGGUUCAGCAUGCACUAUGCUAAUUUAAUGGGUUUAAUUUGAAUUACACCAAUUUCAACAUUCCUUAUGGCAAUAUAUUUUCUUUGCCCUCUACCUCCACCUUCCCCUCCUUUCCUGUGCUCCCGUUUGGAUGCAAUACCGCACCUUACUACUCAGGUGAUCUGCUGUCUAUCGUAGGCAAAGUGAUUUUCAAUCUUAACUCUGCAUGAUGAUGGAUGUCAUCGUUGCAGCUGGCCACUUCUUCGCCCCCAAUUUCCACGUCUAGCUGGGCAAGAGGAUAAAACAACUCUGGAUUUUGGACAAGGCUUCAAGUACCUUUCACCAUGUAAUCAGAACCAUUAAUGUGGUACUUAUUAGCAUGAAAAGAUGUUAGGCUUCUGCUUCUUCACUUGAGGAUUGGAUCAAAGAUAAUGCUAGUUCUGAGAAUGAAGCAGAAAAGGCCACACUGAUGCUGGUUAUCCAAUUGAGGGAUCCGCUGAGACGCUAUGAAGCAGUUGGAGGGCCUAUGUUAGUAGUUGUUCAUGCAACACAGGCGGAGGAGAAGGAAGGGGAGGAAGAGAAGUAGUUCAAAUUAAGCAGCAUGCAUGUGGGAGGCUUCAAGGUGAGGAGUGGCACAAACAGGAAUUCAUGGGACAAUGAGAGACAGAGGCUAACUGCAAUGCAAUGGUUGGUCUCAUAUGGCUUUGGAAAGGCAGCAAAGAAAGGGAAGCAAGCAUUGCAAAAGGGGCAAGACCUGUU
Molecule: long non-coding RNA, 4225 nt
Filed under: Arachis ipaensis
Lineage: Eukaryota; Viridiplantae; Streptophyta; Magnoliopsida; Fabales; Fabaceae
Description: long non-coding RNA (AIPA_LNC000786)
Source: RNAcentral